This 1055-nucleotide long non-coding RNA is filed under the name Equus caballus (horse). RNAcentral describes it as "lncRNA (ENSECAG00000058787.1)". The record is from RNAcentral. Lineage: Eukaryota; Metazoa; Chordata; Mammalia; Perissodactyla; Equidae.
GUCACCACCUCUGCCCCCAUAAGAACAUGCUAACUGAACUUCUCCACAUUCUUUCCUUUCCCUUGUGUGUAGCCGACCCUCAGAGCCCCAAAGACUUUGGAAAAAAGUUCCAGAGCAUCACUACGGAGCUUGCUAGAAAGAAUCUUGAAUCACAAUGAGAAUGUAGCCAAAGUUCCUACCAGUGGAAACCAAGGCAUUAUCUUUUGUACUAUUUUUCUUCCUCAUUGCCACUUUAUCAUCUACUCUGAUAUCUGAAGACUUCCCACAAGGCCCUGAGGACUGGAUCAGGCCAAGCAAAAACCGCAAGAAAGAAAGAGAUAGCUGGAAGAAAGCACGUGUCACACGCUUGGGAACUGGCUAGUGCCUCUCACUGCCUCAGCUUAUUCGCAGCCAGUAGGUCUGGCGGUUUCUACUGGCAGAGGUCUGUGCUCCAAUCUUCACUGGGGGUAGGAGUUGCCUUACGGUCAGACUGCGGCCGUCCGCAACGGCUCAGACGGUCACAGGGAUCACCGUUCAUCAUGACUUGGCCGGCUGGCCCCAUGUUCUGACUGGGGAGGUUGAGCACCCUGGGUGUGCCUCACAAUCUAUUGGCUUGCAGUUACAUCAGCCCUAUUCUGAUUGGCUACACCCAGUUACGGAAGCCAUUACAUCAUUACAGAUGCAUUGUUGGCUAAGUAUACCAUUCCUGAUCAAUACAUUCCAGAACUUUUGAACCUUUCUAAACUUGUUUAUGACUUUGGGGGGAGGGUAGCAGGUGUUUAUCUCUUUUGAGAGAGGAACCUAUAUGCUAAUACUUAAUAGGGUAUACAUGUAUGAUUUUAAUUAAUUUUGGAAAAAGUAGUUACAAGGAAAAGAACAAUUUUGGUGGGAAAGCUUAUUUACCAUUUUUUAAGUACAGCAAGUAGGUUUUUAUUUGUCCUUGUUAAAAUGUAGGAUGUGGCGUCCUUUAAUCACACACAGCUGGUUAGUGACAAAGCUAGGAUUCAUAUCCAAGCAGUCUAAAUGCAGAAUCCACAUUCUUACCUACUAUAUUAUAUUGCCACCCUGCUUGGAAC